Molecule: long non-coding RNA, 765 nt
Organism: Cucurbita maxima (winter squash)
Lineage: Eukaryota; Viridiplantae; Streptophyta; Magnoliopsida; Cucurbitales; Cucurbitaceae
Exons: 2
Source: RefSeq, a predicted model, not a curated record
CUCUGAGUUGUAGAACUUGGGGGGUCCAUUUGCAACACCAAAUUUUUCUGGGUCCAACUGGUUCACUGGGUGUUUGAAGUCGACGACCGAAGGACCGUUGGUCGAACAGAGUAUGAAGCCUAUUGACCCACUGAGUUUGGAAAGGAACCAUCAGAAAACUACAGAUUGUGCAGAAGCAUAAAAUUAAAGAAUUAUUGGCUUUGGUUUUGGUUGGUUUGCCUAGGAUAUGAAGGAACAGAGGUCCAAGCGUAGUUUACAGAGCCCUUGAAGAUGUUACGACAGCGAGUUAUGGUGUCUUCCAUGGUGAAAUUCUUGAUCCACACGCUGUCUGCUUGAGCCGACAGUACUCCACCUGGCUUCAGAGCCUUUGCGAUCGACUUAAGGAAGCCUUCAUCCGAAAGCUCGGUUGCAUAAGCUCCUGAUAUCCACAUUCAACUAUGGCUUCAGCUUCUCUUUAAGUUCUUGUGAAGAAUGAGUGAAAAAUCACAUACCCAUCCCCCGAAAUGCAUCAAUUAUGAUAGAAUCAUAGGUGCCUGGAGGAACAGACUUGAUGAAGGCCACACCUGAAAUAACAACAACGUUUACGACAGUUAGACAACUUUACGAAACACAAACCCGACAACACUCCUCGAACAACAUGUAGUUUUCUGUUUCCUACCAUUGCCUAUGUGUACAUUCACACGAGGAUCCACGUACCCGAUAGCAAUGUCCGGGAAAAACUCCUUGUAAACCUGAAGGUAAAACACUCAUAAUUUCAUCCAUGCA